UUUUUUUUUUUUUUUUUUUUUUUUAUGAGAUCAGAGCAACGUUUCUUUGCGUGUGUGCAUUUUGUGUACUUAUGCUUUGUUUAUUUGGAUGAAAUUGUUUGCAUUUAGAACCUUAUCUAUAUGAAAAUAUCAAUUUGGGGGUACUAUUAUUUUUGGUUAGUAGCUAUUAUUAAGGGUCGGUAAUCAAGUUAUUAGAGGUCAGUAAUUUGAUUAUUAGGGUCAGUAACUUAAUUAUUUUCUAGUAUUUCUUCUGUUCUAUUACAUUAAGCUGAAAUAAGUAGAUUAUUGUGGGUCAAUAACUAAUUAUUGAGGGUUAGUAGAUAAUUCUUAGGGAUCAGUAACUCAGUUAAUGUAACAUCCCAGAAUUUCGGUUUUCUAUUUUUAAAAGAAAAAUCAUUAUUGAGCUAUUUUUAUUUCGAUUUCUAUUAUUCUUCAAAUUCUUUCUGGCUUUUGAAAAUUAUUCAAAUUUUUAGUUUGUUUAGUUUUGUCUUUCGAGCCCAUAAGAUUAACCUAGACGUCGUUACGAGUUCGUAGGAUAUUCGGAGCAUCGUUUGGACUUCGGAUUUAUUUUUAAUGAUUUUUGGAAGAUGGUAUUAUCCAAAAAUUUAAUUAAAAAUAGAAUUUUUACUGGCAUCUUCUGGGCCGUCUGAUCUACUAAACCAUUUAAUCAUAGUCGUUAGAUGGUGUAUAUACAUAGUGGAAGAGAGAAGGAGAUCAAAUCAGUUCAGACCCAGACCGGGUCUCUGCCGACCCGAAUAGCAGCGACGGGCGACCCGGUUGCCGCUCCGUCCUCCGGCGGCGGCGAGGAGAAAGAAAGGUGGCGACGGCUUUGUCUCGACCAAGGAUUAAAAUCUCUUCGACAAAUCUGAUAUAUCCUCCGAUGUCUCCCUUUUUUGAAUGACCGAUAUAUCUAUAGGCGUCAAUAUCUUUUCUUCCACCGUAUCUACGAUAUUUCCUCGAUAUUUCUCCGAUACCGUCAAAUAUCACCGAUAUUUAGGAAAUAUCUCCAACAUUUAUGAUAUUUUCGAUAUAUCACCGAUAUAUUAAAAAAAUAUCUGUAAAAAAAUUGAAAUGAUAUCCGGAAGAAAAGUAAUUCCCUCGAGGUAUAUCCCAAUAAACAGUAGUGGUCUCGACUCUCUAGAAGUAAAAGAUAACGUGAUAAAUGAAAACAACUAUAUCGAUUUACUUCAUGUUGCAAGUGAACCACUUCAUGAUGGCAUUGAUCCACUUCAAGCUUGGAUUAUGCCUACACACCUCGAUGAUGAUGAUGGAAAUCCACCUCCUGAAGUGGUUGAAACUGCAACUGCCAAUGGAAUCAACAUACAAAGGGUAUUAUCUGAAGAAGUUGUUGGAAACCUAGAAGAUAAUUAAUUUAGACAAUGAUGAUGCAUGGGGCGGCACAUCAACUCUAGAUAGUUCAGAUGAUAAUUAAGAUGGUGGAAGCGAAAAAGGUGGUGGAAAUACCGGGUUUGUAUAUGGACAAUAUUUUACAGUUGGUGGAUUGAACAAUUUUUCAUCUGAAGAAAAUUACGAUCACGCCUCCCAUGAUCAUGGCUAUAGAAGUACUAGGUAUGAAGUGCAAGAGGAUACCAUGUAUGGGAGGAGGACUACAUGUCCAAAUGAUGAUCAAGAUGUUGCUUCAGUUGCGCUAAGUUUUGAUUCUAUCAGUUUAGGUAGUGGGACUGGAACCUCAAAUGAAUCCCAAGAAUGCAACAAUCAAUAUGGCUAUAAUGUUUAUGGCUAUAAUCAAUGCGCGGAAGUCAGUGAUCAGUCAUCCAGUUGGAUUCAUCCUUACUAUUCGCUUAUCGGGGAAACAGUCGGCACCUCCAAAGACAUAUAUGAUUAUCAUAUUCAACACUACAAUUCCUACUAUAUGAGUCAUAUGUCUUGGUCUGAUUAUUAUACUUUUGUGGACCAGCGUGUGUCUUAUGACUCUUAUCAACAACCUUGAUUCUCAUUCUGGAUGUAGAUGAAGUUGAUGUUUGUAAUAUUGAUAUAUAAAUCCAAUAAAUUAAAUAUUUCAGAAAAAAAAAAUUCUUCCCAAAAUACUGAUAUUUUUUCCCAAGUUUCCCCAAUAUAUCCUCGAUAUAUCUGAAAUCUCCCUUUUUUCAAAAGACCGUUAUAUACACCGAUACUGAUAUUUUAAUCCUUGGUCUCGACAUCCUGGUCUUCUCCAUGGUAUUUAUUUUCAGAGAUGAAGUCCGGUGAAGAAGAAUCGAAGAAGAAGAAGAAAGGCUGGGUUCACUGGCCAACUUUGGAUUCCGGCCACGACAGCGGGCAUGGAUGGUGUUGGUAGCUUGUCUCGGUCUCGUCGACGUCCCUGUGGGUGGGAAUCGAUGCAGAGGAGUGGUUUGAGUUUUCGGACGAGUUUAUGUGUUUUCCGGCCACCGUCGAUGACAAGGGAGGUAUGAAACUUGAUCUUCUCGUCGAGCUCUACCUGUUUAUAUAAUUGGAAUUCAUAUUUGGUUAAGUUUGGAAGAAGGUGGAAUUUGGGCAGUCGACCACCGUGUGCGGUUGUUGUGCACAGCGGCGUUGAUGAUGUUUUGGGUUUUAGAUUAGCUAUCUUUGAUAUUGAUAGAGGCUUUGGAAUAUAAUUUCAUGGUUGGCUGUAAUUGAAUUUGAGAUUGGAGGAAUUGAUGAUUUUGGGGCAGUCAUCGGCUGUCGUGUGUGGUGGUGUUGUUGGCGUGCUGGCUUUGCUCAGGAACUUGAAUAGGUGUUGAUGAUGCUUGAACGUUCAAAAAAAGAGAGAAGGGGAUGAUUGAAAGGCUGAUUGUGGCUCGAGUGUUAGAACAGUGAUUGUUACAAUUGUUUUGUCUGAUGUUUGAGAGAAUUGUGGAAAUAGAAGAAUGAUUUUAAUUUAUGUAAUGGAAGUGCUCGUAUAUGAACAUGUUCAUCAUGAACAAGUCUGGAGAUUUGCUUGUUAGGUCUACAAGAAAAAUAUUGUGAAAUGGUGCAAAGGAAAAGAGGGAAGGAUGAUCAAGCUGUAAUGAGAGUUAUAAUGGGAGUUUUGGGUGUACAGAGUAAUUUCAGAUAUAGAUAUUAACUGCUAUUUGAAGUUGGGUUGGUGUUUAGAGAUGGAUUUUGUAUUUGGAGCAUAAUUGUAAGUUUGGAUAUUAUGAGAGAAUUGAGUAGUGAAUGUCGAAGAAUCGAAAAUAAGGACUUGGGUGUCCUUAGUAAAUUUAAGAAUUAGAUCAAGCUGAUUUGAAGUGAUUUGUCAUUAUUCUCGGAAAGAGGAUUCAGUUCGAGGAUUGAAUGCGAGUAGCUGGAUUUCAGAAGUAGAAGGAUAAGGAUUUCAGAAAGUGUGUCGCGGUGUCACUAAUUUUAGCUAGCGUCAGAAGCAACGCUUUGGAUUUCAGGUAGGGUCUCUUUCUCGGGGAACCUUUCUUAAAUUGAUAAUUAGGUUAUUAUUGAAAUCGUUGUUUUGUGUGCCAUUGAGUGAUUAACUCUUAGAUGUUAUUGCUUUCUAUUAAAGCAUGUGUAGUCAGUUACUUGUAUGAUCGAUGUUAUCGUUUUACUUAAAAGCAUGUGUUCAAUAUUGAAAUGUGAGUAUUGAUAUUCAAUUGUUAUGUAUAAAUAAUGCAUUGUGAAGAAUUGUGAGAAUGGUGAUUGUAGAGAUGAGAAUGUGACAGGACCCACCCCGAAUUUCACCCUGAAACCCGAGGUAAAUCCUGCGGGGUCCACCUUCAAGGAAAAUUUGCCGAAAAUUCGGCAUAACCUUCCUUAAAAAUGGACAACCCUUACCUGAAAAAUCAAACUUAACACUUUUAUAACCAAACAUCCAUCCUCAACACCUGGAGCCUUCCUGCUCCCCAAGUUCAACACAUCUCCCAAUAACAAUUGCUCAACUCUAAUAAUCCCACAACCAAGAAUAAGGACUAUUAAUAAUUUACUAUUGGACUUUCAGAGCAUAUCUACUGUUGAACGAAAAACAAUAAAUAAAGAAUAAGCGGAAGCAGCCUCUGACUAUGCCUCGACUCCAUGUACGCUCGACCUNNNN
Molecule: long non-coding RNA, 3997 nt
Filed under: Fragaria vesca (wild strawberry)
Lineage: Eukaryota; Viridiplantae; Streptophyta; Magnoliopsida; Rosales; Rosaceae
Description: long non-coding RNA (FVES_LNC002284)
Source: RNAcentral